CGAACGGGUGAGUAAUGCGUGACCAACCUGCCCCAUGCUCCAGAAUAGCUCUUGGAAACGGGUGGUAAUGCUGGAUGCUCCAACUUGACGCAUGUCUUGUUGGGAAAGUGUUUAGUGGCAUGGGAUGGGGUCGCGUCCUAUCAGCUUGUAGGCGGGGUAAUGGCCCACCUAGGCUUCGACGGUAGCCGGCCUGAGAGGGCGGACGGCCACAUUGGGACUGAGAUACGGCCCAGACUCCUACGGGAGGCAGCAGGU
Molecule: ribosomal RNA, 255 nt
Filed under: uncultured Gardnerella sp.
Lineage: Bacteria; Bacillati; Actinomycetota; Actinomycetes; Bifidobacteriales; Bifidobacteriaceae
Description: partial 16S ribosomal RNA
Rfam family: Bacterial small subunit ribosomal RNA
Source: RNAcentral